Molecule: ribosomal RNA, 301 nt
Filed under: uncultured bacterium
Lineage: Bacteria
Description: partial 16S ribosomal RNA
Rfam family: Bacterial small subunit ribosomal RNA
Source: RNAcentral
CAGCAGCCGCGGUAAUACGUAGGUGGCAAGCGUUGUCCGGAAUUAUUGGGCGUAAAGGGCUCGCAGGCGGUUUCUUAAGUCUGAUGUGAAAGCCCCCGGCUCAACCGGGGAGGGUCAUUGGAAACUGGGAAACUUGAGUGCAGAAGAGGAGAGUGGAAUUCCACGUGUAGCGGCGAAAUGCGCAGAGAUGUGGAGGAACACCAGUGGCGAAGGCGACUCUCUGGUCUGUAACUGACGCUGAGGAGCGAAAGCGUGGGGAGCGAACAGGAUUAGAUACCCGGGUAGUCCCUGUCUCUUAUAC